Molecule: small RNA, 149 nt
Filed under: Phytobacter massiliensis
Lineage: Bacteria; Pseudomonadati; Pseudomonadota; Gammaproteobacteria; Enterobacterales; Enterobacteriaceae
Description: Glm Y RNA activator of glmS mRNA
Rfam family: Glm Y RNA activator of glmS mRNA
About the family: This family consists of a number of bacterial RNA genes of around 167 bases in length. The function of this RNA is unknown.
Source: RNAcentral
AGUGGCUCAUUCACCUUCUUAUGUCAGCCCCUUCGGGACGCGCUACAUAAACCUCGAAUGACGCACUUAAAGGUGCCUGCCGUCCAACUGCUGAUAACAAGCGUAAGCUUUUUCAGAACCAGGGCGAAACGUCGAGUAAGGCACCGCCU